This 1097-nucleotide ribosomal RNA is filed under the name Alcaligenes faecalis. RNAcentral's name for it is "bacterial SSU rRNA". It matches the Rfam family "Bacterial small subunit ribosomal RNA", at positions 61 to 1155 of the family's 1533-position model. Lineage: Bacteria; Pseudomonadati; Pseudomonadota; Betaproteobacteria; Burkholderiales; Alcaligenaceae. The record is from RNAcentral.
GUCGAACGGCAGCACGAGAGAGCUUGCUCUCUUGGUGGCGAGUGGCGGACGGGUGAGUAAUAUAUCGGAACGUGCCCAGUAGCGGGGGAUAACUACUCGAAAGAGUGGCUAAUACCGCAUACGCCCUACGGGGGAAAGGGGGGGAUCGCAAGACCUCUCACUAUUGGAGCGGCCGAUAUCGGAUUAGCUAGUUGGUGGGGUAAAGGCUCACCAAGGCAACGAUCCGUAGCUGGUUUGAGAGGACGACCAGCCACACUGGGACUGAGACACGGCCCAGACUCCUACGGGAGGCAGCAGUGGGGAAUUUUGGACAAUGGGGGAAACCCUGAUCCAGCCAUCCCGCGUGUAUGAUGAAGGCCUUCGGGUUGUAAAGUACUUUUGGCAGAGAAGAAAAGGCAUCCCCUAAUACGGGAUGCUGCUGACGGUAUCUGCAGAAUAAGCACCGGCUAACUACGUGCCAGCAGCCGCGGUAAUACGUAGGGUGCAAGCGUUAAUCGGAAUUACUGGGCGUAAAGCGUGUGUAGGCGGUUCGGAAAGAAAGAUGUGAAAUCCCAGGGCUCAACCUUGGAACUGCAUUUUUAACUGCCGAGCUAGAGUAUGUCAGAGGGGGGUAGAAUUCCACGUGUAGCAGUGAAAUGCGUAGAUAUGUGGAGGAAUACCGAUGGCGAAGGCAGCCCCCUGGGAUAAUACUGACGCUCAGACACGAAAGCGUGGGGAGCAAACAGGAUUAGAUACCCUGGUAGUCCACGCCCUAAACGAUGUCAACUAGCUGUUGGGGCCGUUAGGCCUUAGUAGCGCAGCUAACGCGUGAAGUUGACCGCCUGGGGAGUACGGUCGCAAGAUUAGAACUCAAAGGAAUUGACGGGGACCCGCACAAGCGGUGGAUGAUGUGGAUUAAUUCGAUGCAACGCGAAAAACCUUACCUACCCUGGACAUGUCUGGAAUGCCGAAAAAGAUUUGGCAUUGCUCGCAAGAAAACCGGAACACAGNGCUGCAUGGCUGUCGUCAGCUCCGGUCCGGAAAUGUUGGGUUAAAUCCCGCAACAAGCCCAACCCUUGUCUUUAGUUGCUACCCAGAGAUUUUAAUGGAAUUGCCGG